AGAGUUUGAUCAUGGCUCAGGAUGAACGCUGGCGGCGUGCCUAACACAUGCAAGUCGAGCGAUCUUCUUCGGAAGAGAGCGGCGGACGGGUGAGUAACGCGUGGGUAACCUGCCUCAUACACAUGGAUAACAUACCGAAAGGUAUGCUAAUACAAGAUGAUAUAGGAGAUUCGCAUGGAUUUCUUAUCAAAGCUCCGGCGGUAUGAGAUGGACCCGCGUCUGAUUAGCUAGUUGGUAAGGUAACGGCUUACCAAGGCGACGAUCAGUAGCCGACCUGUGAGGGUGAUCGGCCACAUUGGAACUGAGACACGGUCCAAACUCCUACGGGAGGCAGCAGUGGGGAAUAUUGCACAAUGGCGAAAGCCUGAUGCAGCAACGCCGCGUGAGCGAUGAAGGCCUUCGGGUCGUAAAGCUCUGUCCUCAAGGAAGAUAAUGACGGUACUUGAGGAGGAAGCCCCGGCUAACUACGUGCCGGCAGCCGCGGUAAUACGUAGGGGGCUAGCGUUAUCCGGAUUUACUGGGCGUAAAGGGUGCGUAGGUGGUUUCUUAAGUCAGGAGUGAAAGGCUACGGCUCAACCGUAGUAAGCUCUUGAAACUGGGAAACUUGAGUGCAGGAGAGGAAAGUGGAAUUCCUAGUGUAGCGGUGAAAUGCGUAGAUAUUAGGAGGAACACCAGUAGCGAAGGCGGCUUUCUGGACUGUAACUGACACUGAGGCACGAAAGCGUGGGGAGCAAACAGGAUUAGAUACCCUGGUAGUCCACGCCGUAAACGAUGAGUACUAGGUGUCGGGGGUUACCCCCCUCGGUGCCGCAGCUAACGCAUUAAGUACUCCGCCUGGGGAGUACGCUCGCAAGAGUGAAACUCAAAGGAAUUGACGG
Molecule: ribosomal RNA, 878 nt
Filed under: uncultured bacterium
Lineage: Bacteria
Description: bacterial SSU rRNA
Rfam family: Bacterial small subunit ribosomal RNA
Source: RNAcentral